Molecule: ribosomal RNA, 229 nt
Filed under: uncultured bacterium
Lineage: Bacteria
Description: partial 16S ribosomal RNA
Rfam family: Bacterial small subunit ribosomal RNA
Source: RNAcentral
CGCGUAGGCGGUUAGUUAAGUCGGAUGUGAAAGCCCUGGGCUCAACCUGGGAACUGCAUUCGAUACUGGCUGUUUAGAGUAUGGUAGAGGGAAGUGGAAUUUCCGGUGUAGCGGUGAAAUGCGUAGAUAUCGGAAGGAACACCAGUGGCGAAGGCGGCUUCCUGGACCAAUACUGACACUGAGGUACGAAAGCGUGGGUAGCAAACAGGAUUAGAUACCCUGGUAGUCC